Molecule: RNA transcript, 4061 nt
Organism: Stegostoma tigrinum
Lineage: Eukaryota; Metazoa; Chordata; Chondrichthyes; Orectolobiformes; Stegostomatidae
Gene name: dystrophin-related protein 2-like
Exons: 11
Source: RefSeq, a predicted model, not a curated record
GGCCGUGGGCGGGGUUCCGUCGGCGGUUGGUGUAUCGGGGGAGGCGGCAGCAGCUGCGGUGAGGGUGGUGUGUGAGGUGUUGUACCUGGAAGUGGAGGUGGUGAGUGCAGCAGCGGUUCCGGAAGUGGUGUCGCCGGCGGAGGCGGAUGUGACGUCAUCGGUGGGGUCUCCGGCCGUGUCUUCAUGGUCAAUGGCGGCGGGGCAGACAACAUCAGGUGAAGAUGUGCGUGAUUUUAGCAAGGUGCUGAAAAAUAAGUUCAGAUCAAAGAAAUACUUUGCCAAACAUCCUCGCUUGGGUUAUUUACCAGUACAAACAGUUCUAGAAGGCGAGAACCUUGAGACUGGAUCUGUUGGAGUUGCACACAGCGCAACGCGUCUUUGAUCAACACAAAUUGACACAAACCGAGCAACUUCUGAAUGUGACUGAAGUAAUCAACUGUUUAACGUCCAUUUAUGAUGUUUUGGAACAAAACCACAAGGACUUGGUCAAUGUGCCACUCUGUGUCGACAUGUGUCUGAACUGGCUGCUGAACGUAUUUGAUACGGGUAUGAGUGGAAGAAUCAGAGUGCUUUCUUUGAAAAUUGGCUUGACGUGACUCUUCAAGGAUCAUCUAGAGGAAAAAUACAAGUAUCUCUUCAAACAAGUCGCUGAACCCACAGAUUUAUGUGACCAACGAAGCCUGAGUCUUUUGCUUUACGAUGCAGUCCAGAUCCCUUGGCAGCUGGGUGAGGUAGCUUCAUUUGGAGGCUGCAACAUUGAACCAAGUAUCCGCAGUUGCUUCCAACAUGGCCAGAACAAACCAGAGAUUGAUGUUGAACGCUUUGUCGAGUGGAUGAGAUUGGAGCCUCAGUCCAUGGUGUGGCUGCCUGUUCGACACCGUGUGGCAGCUGCUGAAACUGCAAAACAUCAGGCUAAGUGUAACAUCUGCAAAGAGUACCCAAUCGUAGGUUUCAGGUACCGCAGUCUCAAGCACUUCAAUUCUGACAUCUGCCAAAGCUGUUUCUUUUCGGGGCGCACAUCAAAGGGACACAAGUUACAUUGCCCCAUGGUGGAGUACUGCACUCCGAACCUACCCCGGAAGAGAGAGCCCAGAGAAUUGCCAAAGCUGUCCGCAAACAGUCAAUAGAAGUGAAGGAAACUUGGGAGCAAUUGAAAACCCAUGUGAGCAACUGGCAGAAACAGGUGGAAAAGGUGUUGGAGAAACUUCAAGAACUGCAGAAAGCUCUGGAUGAUCUUGAGGCUCAUGUGAUAACAGCUGAAGGGGUCCGCACUGAUUGACAACCUGUGGGUGAACUGCUUAUUGACUCAUUGCAGGAUCACAUUGAUAAAACCACAGUUCAGCUAGGAUCCAGCUGUGCUUAGUUUCAAUUUGGCUUUGGAUCCAAUCUAAUAAUACUGUAAAGGAAUAUAAGAACCAAGGGCAGGAGAAGACUGUGCAGCCCACUGUGCCUGCUUCCUCAUUCACUACAAUUGUGGCUCAUCUUGGGCUUCAAAUUUGCUUUCCUGCUUGCUCCCUGAGUCCCUCGAUUCCCUGAGAGAAUGAAGGUAAAUUUUGUUCUUAAGUACAUUCAGUGAAAACACUUGAUAUAUAUUUGAUUUUAUCAUUAUGAGCCUGUUUUGAGCAGCAUUUUCUUGGGACGUAAAUUUUUUUUGGAUUUGUCACAAUCUAUAUUGGAAGAGCCUACUAGAGAUUGAACCCCACUAUUCCAUAAAUAAUUGUAAAUAUGACGAGUGUAACCUCAAGGAUUGUUAAUGUCUGACUGUUACCGUUAUUGAGGAUAAAAGAAAUUUUCUCCAGGCUUCAUCAAUUAAUGGGGGAAAAAGUACAUUUAUUAUUUUAAAUGUAUUCUUUAACAAGUGACAAAGUGGAUUAUUAAUGAUGAACAUGUAAACUUAAACCAUUCUACAUUCAGGUGCAGACAUGCAUACACUUGUCACCAAUAAGGUGGCAGGAUAGUCAAGAUGAACAGUUAUUCUGCAGUAUCGUGGGUGGGAGAUAUCAGUAAAAAGAACAAACCCUGCAGAACAAGACUCUCAGCCAAAAGCGGGGUAAAUGAGGUGACUUUCUCACAGUUCCUCUGCUUUUUGACAAUGGUGUCGUGUCACCGAUCACCACAUUGAUCCUCAAUUUGACAGUUGAUCAAUUGAACCUAUGUCUGGGCUUGGAUCAGAAAAAGGCCUGAUUCCACACUGUAGGCAUUCUAACACAAGUUUGAUUUGUGUAUGCUGAAAAGAUUUUGGGCCAGAAAGUCCUCAGCAAAGACAUUUUGGUUGAGAGUUAUGUGCUGUGUUGAAUUAAUGUAGCGACUGCCACCCACUGUUGUAGAGUAUAGCUGAAAAACAGAUGAGUAUGGAGGAACUGAUGGGUACAUCUCCAGCAAGGUAACAGCCUUUCAGGAAAAUUGCGCAAGUAACUAGUAAAAUUUGAGUGAGAUUUUUUGGUAAAUUAUUCUUUAACUGAAGUGCGGAAAAAUGUGAGCUCAGCGAUUUUUUUUUGGUGAUCAACUUCGACUCCAUUAUCCUGCAUCACAAUCAAAUUCUAAUAUUUCUGAACUGAAGAAUCAUAGAAUUUUACAGUAUAGAAGGUGGCCAUUUGGCCCACUCUGUCUGUACUGGCUCCUGAAAGAGCUACCCAGCUGUGUCUCUGUAGGCCUCUAAAUUCAGCACUUUCAAAUAUAUAUCUCAGGAAGGGUCACCGGACCUUAGAUGUUAAUUCCAAUUUCACUUCACAGAUGCUGUCAGGCCUGUUGAUCUUUUCCAGCAACUUCUGUUUUUGUCAAGUAAAGAGAUUUAGAUUCUCCCUUACUGGAGAUUGUCAUUGCCUGACACUUUUUUGUAAUGCAUAAUUCGUACCACUUGUCAGCCCUAGCCUAAACUUUGCCCAGGCCUUGCUGCAUAUGGACAUGGACUGCAGUAAUCAGUGCCUAUACCCACUUCUGACUUUGUGAAGGAGUUACGUUCAUUGAUAAAGCAGCUGAAGCUGGUCAGACUGAGGAACUUUGCAGCGAUGACCUGGUACUGAGCUGAUGGAUCUCCGGCAACCACAACCAAUCCUGCCUUUUGCUGUCUAUAUCUCCAACUAGUCGGCCAUUUCCCACCUGAUUCCCAAUUGACUUCAGUUUUCGGAAGGCUUUUUGAUGUCAAGAGCAGGUAUUGUCCUGGUCACUUGUAAUGCUGCCAAUUCAAGAUUAACUACAUGGAUGGUCUCUAUCGGUUGCUUAAUCACCAAUGUCAGUUUGCAAUCCUGAAUCCAAUAUUGUCACUUCAUCUUUCAGUUCUGUUGAUAAGCAAAGUUUGAGAUCAACAGCUUUCAGUUUACUAUCUGGAAGUCAAUCAGUGCAGAUUUUGAUGAAGUGCUGAACGUCAACUUGCCAAAUACAAUUGGCUAAACAGUAUGAGGCCAAUCAGUCUCUUGAAACACUUUUGCUGUGCAAUCAACAUUCCAACAUUAUUUGACAAUGAAAAAUUACAUACGUGCUUCAGAAGAUUAGAUUUGAAACAGAGAUUUGUGAAUAUGAAUGGAGCUAUAUAUGUCUCCAUCUCGGGCACCAACCUCAAGUCCACCUGGACUAUCUCCAACACCUCCCUCACCUUCCUGGACCCCUCUAUCUCCAUCUCGGGCAACCACCUCGAAACUGAUAUCCAUUUCAAGCCCACCGACUCCCACAGCGACCUAGGAUACACCUCCUCCCACCCACCUUCCUGCAAAAAUUACAUCCCCUAUUCCCAAUUCCUUUGCCUUCGCCACAUCUGCUCCCAGGACGAGGCAUUCCAUUCCCGUACACCUCGGAUGUCCUCAUUUUUCAAGGACCGCAACUCCCCCCAACCCAUCCCACACCCCCGCAACCCCUCGCAGUGGUCAAGAACGCCCUCGACCGUGUCUCUCUCAUUUCCUGUGACUCAACUCUCACACCCCGUCCCCGCAAUAACCACCAAAAGAGAACCCCCUCAUCCUCACAUACCACCCUCCCAACCUCUGCCUACAAUGUAUCAUCCUCUGACAUUUCCACCAUCUGCAAUCUGACCUCACCACCAAAGACAUUUUUCCUCCGACCAUUGU